CUAAGGAAAAAAAAAAGAACAGAGGGAACACGGGGGAGAGAAAAGAAAAGAAAAGAAAGAAGGGAAGGGUAAACAGCGAACAGAGGAGGAGAAAGGGGGAGAGAAAAGAAGAAGGGAUUUGAGAAAGGGGGAGAGAGAGAAAAGAAGAGGGAAUUUAGAAAAAAGAAAAAAAGAAUGAAGACGGGGGAGAAGGAAGAUUAAAUGUUUAGGAAACAAGGGUGAGGGAAAGAGAGAGAUUCGUAGCUGUGAGAAACCGAGAAAGGAGAAGUGCAAGUAUUAUCAGGAAGUUUGGGAGAAGAAUUUCGAGUUGGGGUGUUGUUGAUGUCUUGCGUUUUUGAAAGAGAAAGUUGGAGAGUCUGAGGGCUUUUGUCAUAGACUGCAACCUGGGUAGUUCCUGUUUUGAGGGAAGUAAAGCUAGAGGGUUUCGAUUAUUAUUCAGAAGUGAAGGGCUUCCUUUUGGGUUGUCUACUGUCUUGAUUGUUUUGCCUUACAUGUUCUAUUAAUGCUCUUUGGUGCUUGGACGAGCUAAGCUUUUGCAAAGGAGGUUGUUGAGGAAAUCAUAUUGCAGAAUAAGAAAAAAGACCAACUGGAAGCUAGCUUGUUGGAGAGCUGUUAUUGUUGGCUGUGCUGCUAUUGCUGGAGUUGUAAGGAGCUAGCUUGACUGGUGAAUGUUGCUUGACUGCUACUCUUUGCCUUUGUUUUGUUGAAUGCAUUUGUUGAAGCUGGAAUGCAUUUGCUGAUAUUAUGAGUUGUUUAUUUAGUGGGAGAGGAGAGGCAACAGUCAAUAUACCCAAGCAGACAUAGAUAUGAUACGAAAUGAAUGGGCAAAGUACGUAUGUCGUGAAGGCGUACGUGUAGGAGCUAAAGGAAAGCAUAAGAGGAAGUAGGUUGUUGCUGAAGGAAAGCAUCAUUUUUGUGCUUCUCUGCUGGUACAAUAUUCAUGCACUGUGUGGCAUGUUUUGUAACAAAUAGUUUGUAUUUGUAUCAGCUUUUGAUGUCCCAAGUAGAUGGGCAUGCAUUUGAAUUCUUUUCUUCUUUCAAUGUUGGCUUGGAUGAUUGGGAAAUCCUCCCUUUUAAAGUUUGAAUGCUUUUCUUCAAAUAGUAUGAGUUGGAUUACUCAUUUCAUA
Molecule: long non-coding RNA, 1127 nt
Organism: Rosa rugosa (rugosa rose)
Lineage: Eukaryota; Viridiplantae; Streptophyta; Magnoliopsida; Rosales; Rosaceae
Exons: 3
Source: RefSeq, a predicted model, not a curated record